This is a long non-coding RNA of Anneissia japonica, 1379 nucleotides long. RefSeq lists it as uncharacterized. The record is from RefSeq and is a predicted model, not a curated record. The transcript is spliced from 2 exons. Lineage: Eukaryota; Metazoa; Echinodermata; Crinoidea; Comatulida; Comatulidae.
UGCUUAGAAUAAAAUGCUUUUGCAUGGUUAGUGGAGGUGGAGCCGAAGGGGAUCCACUACGACAAAACCAACAACAAGGCGCAAGUAGAGACCGAGGGUCCAAUACUGAUAAAAACAAACUAUCAAAAUAAUUAUACGGUUGAAUGGCAUCAACUGGUUGAUUAGGAGAAUUUGUCUGAAAGAAAAAAUGAGGAUCAUCAUUAGCAAUUUAGCACGUUGACGCUGCAGGUUAUUGAUUAUUCUCCUACCUUUGACUUUAAAACUAGACACAAUUAUUGUUAACUGGGGUGGCGGAUAAUUUUUAAUUCGUUCUGUAUAUUUUCGCUUCUAAAAUUGAAUUAGAAUGUAAUACUAACUUUUGCGGUAUAGGAAGAUUGAUUUGCGAUAAUAGAUUUUUUACAUACAUUAUAAAUAAAAUAUACAUUUUGUAAUUAUAUGACUAACUAAGAGGCUGAAGUAUAUUCUAACACAUGUUGGAAAACUAUAAUUUGAGUCUAGAUUUAUACCAUAUUGCUAUUCAUUACUUCACUAUUUUUAAGGUGGAUCAUACAAUCUAUAAAAUUAACUGUUUUUAAAUAUUUACGUUUUGAAAUAUGCCAAUUUUGUGAGGCAUUAAGUGUUAAACUUUACUUGCUUUUAAACUUUUAAAACUUUUUAAAAUAAGAGUGAAAAUAAAUCGAGAUUUUAAUCUCCCCAGAGUAGUUAGAGUAACAUCAAAAGUUUUUAAAACUUAUAGAAAUCUCUUUUUAGAUAUUGUAAUUUUGCGUUACUUAUGGUGAUUGAAUAUGCAUUUUAAUAUUGUUGUUAAUUUACUAGUUGCGAUUUGUGUUCUAAAAUCUCCGAUGUAGAGUUUAUGCCAUAGGAAUAAAGUGUUAAACUUUACUUGCUUUUAAACUUUUAAAACUUUUAAAAAUAAGAGUGAAAAUAAAUCGAGAUUUUAAUCUCCCCAGAGUAGUUAGAGUAACAUCAAAAGUUUUUAAAACUUAUAGAAAUCUCUUUUUAGAUAUUGUAAUUUUGCGUUACUUAUGGUGAUUGAAUAUGCAUUUUAAUAUUGUUGUUAAUUUACUAGUUGCGGUUUGUGUUCUAAAAUCUGCGAUGUAGAGUUUAUGCCAUCGGAAUAAUGAAUGUGACAGGAAAUGUUUAAUAAUAUUUAAAAAUGGCCAUAAUGCAUUUUGAAAUAUCCAUAUUUAAAUAUAAAAAAAGCAAACUAUGGAUUAAAAAUAUUCAACACUGACCAUGUGACAAAAUUACUCUUUCCGAUGUAAAUUUUUGGUUUUAAUUUAAUAUAAUGUUAAAGGUAUUUUCUGUAUUACAUUUAGAGCAGCAUUUAUACUUAUAGUAUAACAUUAUGAUUGAAUAAAUGAGGGUAGAUAUACACA